GGCAGUUGCAUUUCAUAUGUUGUUGAUUGUGGCAGGAUCGCGUCUUUAUCGAGUUUAGUGGUUGUGGAUUGCGACCAAAAGAAACUGCUCUUUUCGAUGUUUUCCUCCUGUAUGUGCAGAAUUUGAUGACAUUUUAUUAUGCAAACAAAAUGAAACUACCCAAUAGCACACUGGAGGCCAAUUCUGUGGAUUUGGAUCUCUGACCAGAAGGUUUGAACUACUUUGUGGUCUAUGCAAAUAAAAGAAUAAAAAAAAGACUUCCCUGUAGAAUUGAGAACAGGAAGACUUUA
Molecule: unclassified non-coding RNA, 290 nt
Filed under: Hevea brasiliensis (rubber tree)
Lineage: Eukaryota; Viridiplantae; Streptophyta; Magnoliopsida; Malpighiales; Euphorbiaceae
Source: RNAcentral